This 98-nucleotide non-coding RNA is filed under the name Rhodonellum psychrophilum. RNAcentral describes it as "TPP sequence". It matches the Rfam family "TPP riboswitch aptamer (THI element)". From Rfam's summary of the family: Vitamin B(1) in its active form thiamin pyrophosphate (TPP) is an essential coenzyme that is synthesised by coupling of pyrimidine and thiazole moieties in bacteria. Lineage: Bacteria; Pseudomonadati; Bacteroidota; Cytophagia; Cytophagales; Cytophagaceae. RNAcentral also lists the same sequence under 1 other name. The record is from RNAcentral.
UUAGAUCAUUAGGGGUGCCUUAAAAAAAACGGGCUGAGAUCAUACCCAUAAUACCUGAUCCAGGUAAUGCCGGCGAAGGGAAAUGAGUAACCAAUACA